This 465-nucleotide ribosomal RNA is filed under the name Vreelandella stevensii. RNAcentral describes it as "partial 16S ribosomal RNA". It matches the Rfam family "Bacterial small subunit ribosomal RNA", at positions 338 to 795 of the family's 1533-position model. Lineage: Bacteria; Pseudomonadati; Pseudomonadota; Gammaproteobacteria; Oceanospirillales; Halomonadaceae. The record is from RNAcentral.
CCUACGGGUGGCUGCAGUGGGGAAUAUUGGACAAUGGGCGAAAGCCUGAUCCAGCCAUGCCGCGUGUGUGAAGAAGGCCUUCGGGUUGUAAAGCACUUUCAGUGGGGAAGAAAGCCUUGGGGCUAAUACCCUCGAGGAAGGACAUCACCCACAGAAGAAGCACCGGCUAACUCCGUGCCAGCAGCCGCGGUAAUACGGAGGGUGCGAGCGUUAAUCGGAAUUACUGGGCGUAAAGCGCGCGUAGGCGGUCUGAUAAGCCGGUUGUGAAAGCCCCGGGCUCAACCUGGGAACGGCAUCCGGAACUGUCAGGCUAGAGUGCAAGAGAGGAAGGUAGAAUUCCCGGUGUAGCGGUGAAAUGCGUAGAGAUCGGGAGGAAUACCGGCGGCGAAGGCGGCCUUCUGGACUGACACUGACGCUGAGGUGCGAAAGCGUGGGUAGCAAACAGGAUUAGAUACCCUAGUAGUC